AUACGGAGGGUGCAAGCGUUAUACGGAAUCACUGGGCGUAAAGGACGCGUAGGCGGGUUGGCAAGUCAGAUGUGAAAUCCUACAGCUUAACUGUAGAACUGCAUUUGAAACUGCUAACCUAGAGUAUGGGAGGGGGAGAUGGAAUUAGUGGUGUAGGGGUAAAAUCCGUAGAUAUCACUAGGAAUACCGAAAGCGAAGGCGAUCUCCUGGAACAUAACUGACGCUAAGGCGUGAAAGCGUGGGGAGCAAACAGGAGUAGAAACCCUAGUAGUCC
Molecule: ribosomal RNA, 274 nt
Filed under: uncultured bacterium
Lineage: Bacteria
Description: partial 16S ribosomal RNA
Rfam family: Bacterial small subunit ribosomal RNA
Source: RNAcentral